UGGGCGGGACGGGGUGGAGUAAUGUCUGGGAAACGUGCCUGAUGGAGGGGGAUAACUACUGGAAACGGUAGCUAAUACCGCAUAACGUCGCAAGACCAAAGAGGGGGACCUUCGGGCCUCUUGCCAUCGGAUGUGCCCAGAUGGGAUUAGCUAGUAGGUGGGGUAACGGCUCACCUAGGCGACGAUCCCUAGCUGGUCUGAGAGGAUGACCAGCCACACUGGAACUGAGACACGGUCCAG
This 240-nucleotide ribosomal RNA is filed under the name uncultured bacterium. Its description in RNAcentral is "partial 16S ribosomal RNA". It matches the Rfam family "Bacterial small subunit ribosomal RNA", at positions 104 to 334 of the family's 1533-position model. The record is from RNAcentral.